CCGCAUUUCUACCAAGUAUGGCAUGCCAAGUUAACAUUUUAGACAAUCAUUUAAUAUAAAUACAGAUGGCGAUGGCGAAAUAAACUACAGAACUGUGAAUAAUAACAUACAUUGUAAUUUAUAUGACAUAAGAAGACACCAUGUGACAAUUUUAAUUAGUUAAUUGUGUAAGUAUAACAAUAAUCAAGAUUAAACAAAACUAUCCAACACUUUUAUGAUCUAAAUUAUGUAUCUUGAGUUAUGUUUUGGUCAUGGUGUUGAAUUUAUUGGACUUAUUAUUUGUAAUUGUCACCCGCCUUCCCGUUGUUCUAUCUUGACGAAAACGCGUGCUACUUCGUAUUUCUUGUUUGCAAAUCAUUCUCUACAUAUCUUUUCAUUAAAAUUUGCAUGCAUAAAGUAUUUGUCACUGGACGGCCAGGAAACAACAUUCAAUCAAUCAUAUGUCUUCUUAAAUAACAG
RNAcentral lists this long non-coding RNA (459 nucleotides) under Mytilus galloprovincialis (Mediterranean mussel). Lineage: Eukaryota; Metazoa; Mollusca; Bivalvia; Mytilida; Mytilidae. The record is from RNAcentral.